This 3002-nucleotide unclassified non-coding RNA is filed under the name Hevea brasiliensis (rubber tree). The record is from RNAcentral. Lineage: Eukaryota; Viridiplantae; Streptophyta; Magnoliopsida; Malpighiales; Euphorbiaceae.
AAAAGAUCUAGCCUGAGUUGGUGGGCAACCAUAGAGAACAUAAUUGGAAUUGGAUGAUCAAACAAUUUCAUGAGUAGCUAUCAUGCACUGAAUAUUCCAAAAGGAUAAAGGAUAAUGGCAUCUAAUCAAACAUGCCACCCCACCUCCUCUGUGUCUAAAUCUUUAAUCAUUUAUAUGAAUUUUAAGUUUGAAAGCAAAUGUCUGACACUCUAUUAUUAGAUUUACAAGUCCAAUGAUAUACCUUCCCUGUUCUUCAGCCGUGUCUGAUGUCUCUAAUUGGGAUGUGAAGGCAUCUUCAUUACAAGAGGGCAUUUUCCAUCAGGGAAUUCUAUGGAGUGGCAAACCUGAAAAGGAACCACUAGAAAGAAAGAACAUGAGCCCUCCAAGUGAGCUAUCAUGGGUUGAUCAUAAACAAAUAAAUGUUUAAUGUCUAAGGAAGUCCAUUUUUUUAAACUAAUGAAAUUACAUGGGACACCUUCCAAAUAAAAUUUAACAUCAAUUAGAAACCUAGGAUAAACUUACACAAGCAAAUAUUAAAAUACCAAGAACAUCAUUGAAGAUUACUAGAGUUUGACGCUCCUCCAGUUUUCUGACUGUAAUUACAAGAACCAGAAAUAAGAAAAGAGAAUGAACUUUCUGAAUCAUCAAAUGGAGGUCAAGGAUACUCAUGAAAUCCACCAAAAUUACAAGUAUCGAAGUUCAAUGGCGAGAAAUAACUAGCAGGAUCAUCAACACCCACCUUCACAUCCAUAAUAUUCUGAGCUCCACUUCCAGUAGCAUCACUGGAGCCAAAACUAUAAUUUGUACUUCCAACCUUGUUUGAUACAUCAUUUUCUUCCCCUUUAUCAGAUGGCCCAGAAGAUAGUCCUUUCGUUUCAUCACGCGGAAUAGCAGGAGUAUGACCUUGGAAGAGAGCAAUGUGCCCAAAAAGCUUGUCUUUCCUUGAAAAAGUUGUACCACAUGAACAAAGCCAUCUAUCCUUGCCACAAUGCUUCUCAUGAGUUUUGAGGUCUGCAAUGACUGAGAAUUUCUUGGUGUUGCAUCUACUGCAAGUGUAGCUCUUGUCACAAUGAGUUCUCUUAUAAUGAUUUUUGACACACAAAAUAGUCUUCAAAGGCUGAAACUUUUUGUGAUCCUUGUUCCGCCUGCAACCGGCAAAUGGACAGGAAUACCUCUUAAUGAGCACUGGCUCAGAGCUGGCUUCCUUGUUGGGUUUUGCAAGUGCUGCAGGAGUUUUGUACUCAUCCCCAUGACCUCUCAUAUGCAUCCGUAAAUUUGCAUCCCUCUUAAACCCUUUCCCACAUAUUGUGCAGAAAUGAGCAUGCGGUGCAAGGAUUUCUUCUUUUUCUAGUUGUAAGAUCUCAUAGGAACCAGGUGGAAGGUUCUCCCCUUCGUCAGCAUCGUCUUCUUCUUUCAUUUCAUGUUCUUCAAUAGAGUAGUUCUGCUCAGUCCCAUAAUUACCUGUAACAUCCAUUUGGUUGGACUGAUCAGAGACUUUAGUUCCACUACUAUGUUGUCGCUGUAGUCUACUAUUCAUGCCUGUUCCAGAGGGGAAAAGAAUCCCCCCAAGCUGUCCAAGAGGAGGAGUGGUUGCAGAAAGUGUAUGCUUCACAGAUGGAAGAAGACUACCUGAAGUAGUUAUCAAUUGUCCAAUAAUUGAAGUGAGAUCAGCCGUUAUGAGUUGCUGUUGCUGGGUUACAAGUUCUUCUGGCUGUCCUGGAACUUGACUCCUCCGGCCAACAAUCAAAUGCACCAAAUCUUGUAAUUGAUGGAUCUUUUGCUCAAGAAAAGAGAGAUUAUUAAGCAUAGCCCUUGGAUCCCAAUCUGGGAUUUUGUUGAUUUGAAGUGUUUCAUUAAUUUGACUAUUUUCUCGAUCCACUAUUUUGAUAUGAUCAUUGGGAUUGGAAGGAAGCAAAGAUUGGGUUUCGGAUUGUGGAUUGAAUUCUUGGAAAGGGGUAUCUGUCCUAAUGCCAAAGAUAGAGGUAUCUUCCCACUUCUGCUGAUGUUGAUGCGAGUCCAAAUUAUAAUUGGUAAAAGAUGGUUUCUUGGUGGGAAUGUUUUUCGCUAAUUCAUUACCAGAAGAUGAAGAUUUUGCCCACGUUUCUUGACACAGCGUGUCCAUGUGAUCCAUCAUCGAGUCCUUGCUGAGUCUCAAGACUCGGUGCUAAUCAAACCUGGAUUUUAACAGGAAUUAAAAUUUUAAACUUGGCAGAAACAUUUUGAUUGCCAGAAGACAAGUAAUCAACCCAAAUCUCAAUUAACCUGUAAUUCCCACUUUUAUGGCCAGAUUCUCUUAUUAAGAAGAUUUCAGCUAGAAUCUAGACUAAGCCAACCGUAAUCAAGCUAAAACUAUCAUCAUUUUUCGAUCAAAUGGCUAACCCAAAUCUCAAAUACAUCUAAAUACUCAAUAAACAUCAAAAGAUAUCAAUAUUGGCACAGUAGCCACAAUCAAAAGCUAAAACAUUAGAACAAAUAACACGAAAAAAGCAAGAUUUAGCAUCUGUAAUUCUGUGUACCAGCAUAUAAAGAGCAUAAGUUCUCAGAAAAAAGAAGAGGAGAAGAGAGUCUCACCAGAUUCAAGAUUGCUUGAAGUCAGACGCAGGCUGCUUCAUCUCGAAUUGGGCACAAAGGAACACAAAAAGACAGGAAUGAAAAAGAAAAUUUGGAGUGGGACUGAAUCAAUAUUAACAUAUCAGCAGCCACUACGACCAAGAAGAAUAAACUGUUGCCAAGUGCCAUCAAUUUUGUCAUUCUGAUUAGACUGAUAUAGCCCAUUUAAUCAGAACCAUUGGUGGGUCAAUCAUGGCAUUGUUGUGUAGCUUUCUGUUUUUGCUGAACAAUGAAUGAAAAAGACAAGAACAACUUUGAGGGCUGAUUUGAGAUUUGGGUAUAAGAUUGUGUAUCCCUAAUCCCAUACUUCUCAACCCCCCGAACCACACACCUCCCCCCCUCCCCCGUCCUCUCUCUCUCUCUCAGAGGGAAAUGCACGAGUGGGGUUAAUU